AUGAGGUGUGAGGCACGAGAGACGAGGAGGUUGCGCUGCCGGAACGAGGCGCAACAAGGACACAAGAUCUUGAGAGCCGUGGAGCUGCUGUGUGUUUCCCGGUCAACGCGGGCUUUGAUCGGAACUGAUCCUGGACCACAGUCGGAGCUCAGUCGAGGAGGAAAACAUGACAAGCUGGGGGAGACGAGAGAUGGAGCUGUAAACGUUGAGACCACAUGUAAGAAAACAGUACAGAAUUAUUAAAUCUAUUAUAAAAAAAAAAUACUGCUUCACACAUCUUGUACUGCUGCAUUUCG
RNAcentral lists this long non-coding RNA (296 nucleotides) under Scophthalmus maximus (turbot). RNAcentral's name for it is "lncRNA (ENSSMAG00000025345.1)". The record is from RNAcentral. Lineage: Eukaryota; Metazoa; Chordata; Actinopteri; Pleuronectiformes; Scophthalmidae.